UGACUGUUUUGUGAGGGGUUGUGAUGCUUCCAUUCUUCUUGAUUCCACUCCGAAGCACAAAGCAGAGAAAGAAAGCAUGAGAAAUAAGGGAAUAGGAGGCUUUGAGGUGAUAGAUGCAGCAAAGGCUAAGAUAGAGGCUUACUGCCCCAACACAGUUUCAUGUGCAGAUAUUAUUGCCUUUGCAGCUCGUGAUAGUGUUCACCUUACCGGUGGCAAUUACUAUGAUGUUCUCGGAGGCCGCCGCGACGGAACCAUUUCUUUGAUCGGUGAUGCCACUAAAAACCUCCCCGAUGCAUUCUUUAAUGUCACCCAGUUGAAAGAAAACUUUGCAAAGAAGGGUUUGUCACUAGAGGAAUUGGUGACGCUCUCUGGUGUUCACUCUAUCGGUGACUGUCAUUGUUCUUCAUUCUCUAAACGUUUAUAUUCCUUCAAUGCAACGUACCCACAAGAUCCUUCCAUGGUUUCUACCUAUGCCAGUUACUUGAGAGCCAAAUGCCCUAGACCUGUGAAAACGAACUCUGGGGUUGAUCCAAUCGUGCCUUUUGAUCCCCUAACACCAACCAGGCUUGACAAUAAUUACUACAAGAACUUGAAGAGUAAAAAAGGGCUGCUGUUUUCAGAUCAAGUGUUGUGGGAAAGUAGUUUGACAAAGAAGAUGGUGGGG
Molecule: unclassified non-coding RNA, 664 nt
Filed under: Hevea brasiliensis (rubber tree)
Lineage: Eukaryota; Viridiplantae; Streptophyta; Magnoliopsida; Malpighiales; Euphorbiaceae
Source: RNAcentral